This 372-nucleotide ribosomal RNA is filed under the name Triticum aestivum (bread wheat). Its description in RNAcentral is "partial small subunit ribosomal RNA". The record is from RNAcentral. Lineage: Eukaryota; Viridiplantae; Streptophyta; Magnoliopsida; Poales; Poaceae.
AUGAAAAAAGCACAAGAGAAGCUUGGGGAGCUGAUGGCUGAUGAUGGGCCACUAAAUAAUGCAUUCAAGGAUUGUGUUGACAACAGCCUGACUGUUGAGGAGUUUGAGCACAAGUGGUGGGUGAUGAUGGAAGCGUAUGGCUAGACCGACAACGAGCAUUUCCAAUGGCUGUGGGAGAACAGGAAGUGUUGGGUCCCGGUAUACUACAUGCAUGGUUUUUUUCCGUUCUUGCAGAGCAUGGCAAGAAGCGAGGGUUUUAACCCUGUGCUCAAGAAGUAUGUCAACCCAAACAACUCACUGGUCGAAUUUGCACAACAGUACAUGAUGACCCACAAGUAUAGGGGAUCAAUUGUAGCUCUUUUCGAUAAGUAA